CAUAAAACACGCACGCUCCGACCCUAAAGCAAAAACGCGAGACAUUGAGACUGUUGGUGCGAAAUCAGACUCAAGAGUGAAUUGUCGGUUCGCAUUCGAAGAGGUGAUUCGCUCCUCUCCCUCCCUCUCUCUCUCUGGUUUGCGAGAUUACACCAUCAAUCAACCUACUCAUUUGGUCGUGAGUGCUAUUACUUUCCUGGAAAUCUGUUUCAGUGGAUUUUAGGUUCAUAUCCAAACAGAUAAUUAGCUGAACCACUUCAGUCGUAGCAAUGAGAAGAUCACGCAAUGUGAUUGUUGCCACUGGCCUUGUGGCUUUUGCUUGUGCGGGCUUAGCAUUUCCCUUUUACAUGGUCACACCAAGGUCAAAGCCUGUGAUUGACUCUUCAAAACCACUGCCACCCCAGGCUAUUAUCAGGGGGCCGUACAUCAACACAGGAUCACGUGACAUCGGGCCUGACAGCCAGACAUACCCUAAGAAGUGAAUCAUUUUUGAAAUAUCUGCUCUUGGAGUAGUUUAGGAAAUAUAUUUGAUAACAAAGAAGAGAUACUGAAGCAGUAAUUGGGACAGUAUUGCUAAAAUAAAUAUUAGUUUUCUUGGAAGCUUGUUUGUAGAACUGCCGUACAUAUCAGCGAAGCUCUUCCUGCCUCUCUGCUUUCGACUGACCUUUGUUGUUUAGUGCCCCACCACCACCUCUUUGGCUCUUUCCCUUGCUGGUAAAACAUACUUGUGGUUCGGUAUAUUCAUGGUUAAAAGUAUUAUUAAAUUGCAUUUAUGAGAGCUGACUUAACAAGUUCCGAAGAAAGCAAAUUAGUAUUGCGAUGUCAAAUUUUCUUCCUUGGUUUCAUCGGGCAAUGGAAUCGUGUCCCUUUCGCGAGGCUGCGAUGAUAGUAAGUUUAUGCUUAUUGGUUUUAAUCAUGUUUAGUGUAGUUGCCUGCUGAUUAGAGCAUAAUCUUGA
Long non-coding RNA from Tripterygium wilfordii, 956 nucleotides. RefSeq lists it as uncharacterized. The transcript has 4 exons. Lineage: Eukaryota; Viridiplantae; Streptophyta; Magnoliopsida; Celastrales; Celastraceae. The record is from RefSeq and is a predicted model, not a curated record.